AACGAACGCUGGCGGCAGGCCUAACACAUGCAAGUCGAGCGCGCGCAUCGGAGUGAGCGGCGGACGGGUGAGUAACGCGUGGGAACGUGGCCUUUUAUACGGAAUACCCUCGGGAAACUGAGAGUAAUGCCGGAUACGCCACUUUGGGGCAGGAUACAUCGGACAAGGAAAGGCCCGGGAUGGAUUAGGUAGUUGGGGGGGUAAAGGCCCACCAAGGAGACGAUCCGUAGCUGGUUAGAGGGGCUGAUCAGCCACACUGGAACUGAGACACGGGCCAGACUCCUACGGGAGGCAGCAGUGGGGAAUAUUGGACAAUGGGCGCAAGCCUGAUCCAGCCAUACCGCGUGGGUGAAGAAGGCCUUCGGGUUGUAAAGCCCUUUUGUUGGGAAAGAAAAGCAGCAGGUUAAUACCCCGCUGUUCUGACGGUACCCAAAGAAUAAGCACCGGCUAACUUCGUG
RNAcentral lists this ribosomal RNA (458 nucleotides) under uncultured bacterium. Its description in RNAcentral is "partial 16S ribosomal RNA". It matches the Rfam family "Bacterial small subunit ribosomal RNA", at positions 29 to 507 of the family's 1533-position model. The record is from RNAcentral.